This 316-nucleotide long non-coding RNA is filed under the name Vulpes vulpes (red fox). RNAcentral's name for it is "lncRNA (ENSVVUG00000011317.1)". Lineage: Eukaryota; Metazoa; Chordata; Mammalia; Carnivora; Canidae. The record is from RNAcentral.
CCCCUCCACCCCCACACCUCCCCUCUGCCCUUACAGCUGAGUGAUCACAGCCUCUCCUUAGGUCCGGGUAUACUUGUUCCUCUGCGCUGCUGGAAGGUUCACCUGGGCCCAGAUGAUGACUAAAGGUCCCUUCUUCUGAGGAAAGAAGCAGGACUCAGAAACGCAAACCAAGCCUACGAAGAUGCACCCAGUUGCCCAACACUCUGCAGAGACUGGAGGCAGGCACGGCAGGAAAUGAAAACAGACCGGAAACUGCUCUUCAGACUCCAAAUCUAAAGUUAAUUAAAUUAAUGAAAAGCUAAUAUCUAUCUAUUAA